This 366-nucleotide ribosomal RNA is filed under the name uncultured Thiobacillus sp. Its description in RNAcentral is "bacterial SSU rRNA". It matches the Rfam family "Bacterial small subunit ribosomal RNA", at positions 1014 to 1382 of the family's 1533-position model. Lineage: Bacteria; Pseudomonadati; Pseudomonadota; Betaproteobacteria; Nitrosomonadales; Thiobacillaceae. The record is from RNAcentral.
GUUACUUCGGUACAUCGGUGACAGGUGGUGCAUGGUUGUCGUCAGCUCGUGUCGUGAGAUGUUGGGUUAAGUCCCGCAACGAGCGCAACCCCUAUUGUUAGUUGCCAUCAUUCAGUUGGGCACUCUAGCGAGACUGCCGGUAAUAAACCGGAGAAGGUGGGGAUGACGUCAAGUCCUCAUGGCCCUUAUGGGUAGGGCUUCACACGUCAUACAAUGGUCGGUACAGAGGGUUGCCAAGCCGCGAGGCGGAGCCAAUCCCACAAAGCCGAUCGUAGUCCGGAUUGUUCUCUGCAACUCGAGAGCAUGAAGUCGGAAUCGCUAGUAAUCGCAGGUCAGCAUACUGCGGUGAAUACGUUCCCGGGUCUU